UGCGGGAAAUGUAUGUUUUUGAAUUGUGCAACAAAGAUGUGGAAAAAAUGUGUUUUAGUGCGUUUAGCAUGAUAUUUAUGAUGUAUGUUAUACAAUCCAGUGCAUAAUACUCAAUAAGCAAUCGUUCAAAAAUUGUUGGGCCACUGAGCUACUACCAGCUCUUUGAGUUUCCUAUACAAGUAGUCACUGUUUUGUUUACAAGAACAACAGUUGAAAGAAUAACAUCAAGUUCAACAGCAUACAAUUUUCGUUUGCCAAAUGCCAGACACAUCGACGGUGCAAUUAACCUUCCUUCAACCCGUGUAUGAUUUAAAUUUUCAAAGUGAACUAAGAAUAUCUCCAUCCCUCAACGAUGCAACACAUUAUUAGGCUUAGCAUGGGGCAGCGUUUGAUAAGGAGAUUUGUCAAAGUGGUCGAAGAUCGCGACGAUAAUGAUGUUUUUGAUAUCUUUUGAAGUAAUGCGGCGGAGUCUGGUCCAGCAAAUAGAAUCCCACGAGUCAGCAGACAAAAAUUUGGCAUUUCUAUUCUGUUUGGCAUUCGAACUCUAACCGUGAUGGCAAAAAAGUGAAGCAACUUCGUUAUAAAGCGUGCGCGAUCAACGAACGGCACCCCGUAGCGUCUAAAACGGAUUCCGUGCGUUAGUUUGUUAACGUCGUAUAAGCCUAUUUGUGAUUUCUACAACAUUUUGGCUCUAUUCGGCAAUAAUCAGAGCAUCGAAAGAAAGCCCAGUUCCGAAUGGUCGACAUCUCUGAGCGACAACAAGCUCCAAAGAACGCAUGAUCUACAAGCUCUACUCCAAUAAUUUUGUCGCGAAAAAUGAGGAGUAAUUGAUAUAAAUCGAAGGUAGAUCGUAAAAAUCGUGCCUAAACGCAUGUCAUCGUCCGACAUGUCGAAAAUUCCGGAUAUCUGACUACAUGCAGCUCGCAAGGUUGAAGAUUUAUUUUUACAAGCAAACUUGAAUUACCUUAAACAAACAAUU
Anopheles merus is the source of this 979-nucleotide long non-coding RNA. RefSeq lists it as uncharacterized. The transcript has 4 exons. Lineage: Eukaryota; Metazoa; Arthropoda; Insecta; Diptera; Culicidae. The record is from RefSeq and is a predicted model, not a curated record.